This is a non-coding RNA of Salvelinus sp. IW2-2015, 370 nucleotides long. NCBI's taxonomy places the organism in Eukaryota, Metazoa, Chordata, Actinopteri, Salmoniformes, Salmonidae. The record is from RefSeq and is a predicted model, not a curated record.
CAAAGAGAGGCUCACCUCCACGGCUACUGGCCACAGAUGCUGAUGUUCCCAGAAGGCACCACUACGAACGGCACCACUCUCAUAAAGUUCAAACCUGGUGCCUUCCUGGCUGGAGUCCCAGUCCAACCUGUUCUGCUGCACUACCCCAACAAACUGGAUACUGUGCGCUGGACCCACAGGGGAACUACCUGGGUUGAGGCAUUGGGGCACACCUGCUCUCAGCUCUACACUAACGUUACUGUUGAGUAAGGCCAUAUUGUCCAUAAUCAGAAUGACCACUCACAGAAGAAAAAUGUUCUGUUUCUCAUUGGCUGUAAUACCUGUCAGUACAAAAUGUAUGUUCUCUUAUUGGCUACAGUACCUGCCAGUA